AUGAAGCAUAGGUUUGGAUUUCUAGAGACAGAUGUGCUGGAAACAAGACCUCAGAGAAGCUUUUUUCUUACUCCACUGAGUAAGGUAAAAAUGCAAUACCUGAACACUGGAUUCUUUAAGCAUGCAUUGGUUUUAAUUU
Molecule: long non-coding RNA, 139 nt
Filed under: Anas platyrhynchos platyrhynchos (common mallard)
Lineage: Eukaryota; Metazoa; Chordata; Aves; Anseriformes; Anatidae
Description: lncRNA (ENSAPLG00000022285.1)
Source: RNAcentral